GGUGGUUCUUGGGUGACCCACCCCGAAAUCAGGUGCCCUCCUCUCUGGUUCUGGAUGCAUCACCUGAGAACUGCU
This is a non-coding RNA of Myotis davidii, 75 nucleotides long. Lineage: Eukaryota; Metazoa; Chordata; Mammalia; Chiroptera; Vespertilionidae. The record is from Rfam.